This 3975-nucleotide long non-coding RNA is filed under the name Citrus sinensis (sweet orange). RNAcentral describes it as "long non-coding RNA (CSIN_LNC000607)". The record is from RNAcentral. Lineage: Eukaryota; Viridiplantae; Streptophyta; Magnoliopsida; Sapindales; Rutaceae.
CUUCGUGAAUUAUUUGAUGCUUCUUGUAAAAUUCUUCUCGAGUGAGGUCUCCGUAUGGGCUAUUCUCAUUAGCUUGGCUUAUGGGGUGUGACAUUUUCAUUUCUUUGAAGCAGAAGAAGAAGAAUGUUCAAAAGUACUUGGAAUGUGAAAUGUGAGUAUGAUGACGAGACGACACCAGGCCACUUGUAUUUAUACACGGUGACCUACGAAGCUACUUUUCAUGCAAAAUUUAAUUCGAGACAUUCACUGUGUGUUUGCAUAAUUGUAUGUAACAUGAUAAUAUAUGAGAAUACGAAAUAUAUAACUAAUAUUUCAAAAAAAAAAAAGAGAGAGAACCGUAGAGGAAGUGUCAUCAACUCAGCUGUCAAAUGUACGUCCAGGCACCUAAUUAAUGGUUACAUUUAAUAUUUCAAUUUGGUUUGAGACUCAAAUAAAUUACGAGAGAUUAUCAGUUUUCUUUUUAUUUAAAUUAAUAAGUACGAUUAAUUUUUUUAAUAUUUUUAUAAUAGUAAUAAUUUCUUAGCAUAAAAAAUUUUAAGUGAAAGAAGGAUGAGUGAGUUAUUUACUUAAUAUUUUAUUUUUGAAAAUAUAAAAUAUAUAUUUAUUAUCCUUAUUAAUGGUUACAUUUAAUACUUCAAUUUGGUAUGAGAUUCAUUUCCUCUCAUCUCUCAAUAAGAAAAUCACUGCAUUCCAACACUUUCCAAACAAUUUUUUCUUCUUAUUUUUCCUAUUUUUCAUGUGUUAUUUUAUUUUUCUUAUCCACCACUCGUGUUUUCUUUUGAUCUUAAAAAAAUUAUGAAAUCAUUGUUUAUGUGGAUUUGAACUACUAUUUAUAGAUCUACAUAAAGAUAUUGAUUUUUAUAUUUCUUAUUCUCUUGAAAUUUCUUCUAAAUGGAAAAAUUGGAUAAGUCCAACAUAUUAUUUGAAUAUUUGUAUAUUAUUUUCUUAAAAGCACGUGGGUGAGUGUUGUGGGGUAUUUGUGUUUGAAAGUAUGUCUGGCCAUAUUGUAUUACAAACCAGAGCAAUCGGGUAUGAUCAUAUUAAAUGAUGACUUACAAACAUUAAUUUAGACAAUUACAAGUGAUGAGCUACUUCAAAACAUUAAUUUAGACAAUUACAAGUGAUGAGCUACUUGAAUGAAUCUGAAAAAGAUUUAACAAGGGACAAAUUUACUCAAAUUAUGACAUUGUUGUUAAUGCUAAUUUAUUGAAGAUAUACCACCUAUUUUAAAAUUUCAUACUAAUUUAUUUAUGCUACAUAUAUUUUUACCCAAAAGCUUAAUUUUUAUUCAAAGAGAUUAAAUGAAUCAAUGUUAUUUUUUUUUCUUAUAUUAACAUUUUAAUUACAAUUAUAAUUUUUAUGUUUGGGAAAAAAAUGUUUUCGCAAAUAAAGCUAUAUAUAUAUAUGUAGAAAACUUAAAAUUGUAAUAGAUUGAGUACAUUGGAUUUCAUCAAUGCUAGCUUUAAAUUAGGGGCAAUAAUCCGUGCAGUGUAUUAAUUAUUAAUGAAGCAGCUCAAAGUCCUGACCUUUUUUUUUUUUUUUUUUUUUGGUUUGUUUGAUGUGUUAUUGUGACUUGUGAGGAUCUAAGUAAAGCAAAGAGCUCGUGUGGCAUGUAGCACGCGAUGAUCAUCUAUUGAAAUCCCACCGACAACUAAGGUUAUUUGAUUCUUGUGUUAUUAUUUUUACCUCCUAACCUUCAAUUAUAAAAAAGUGAGAAAAUAACAAUUUAGAUAUUUGUAAAGGUAAUGUGCCACGUAUGAGUGUAGUUGAGAUUUAAGUAAUGUAAUGAAUUAUAAUAUUUAAAUCUCAAUUGAUGCGUUAUUAAUUCAUUAAACGGUAAAAUGAUAAUAUUAUAAGUUAGGAAAUUCAUUAUAUAUUCAAUGAGUGACAAUAGCAGUUAGAACUCAAAUAUUAAGAUUACAAAUAACAACCUAGUAAAAAUAUGAGCAGCUCAAAUCAAUCUUUAUAUAAGUUAACAUAUAUCAUGUGUUUUCGUGAUAAAACUUAAAAUUGAUAAAAAUUAAUUAAGAUUGUUAUUAUGGUAAGAAAAAAAAAAUGUCCCUUAUGCAUAACUUAGUUCUCUGUAAAUGUAUUUUGAGUUUGCAAUUACUUAAGUUCAAAUAGUUAUAAAGAAAGUGGUUAGUGUUUAGUGGAUUAGAUUUCUCAUUUCCAUCCAAACCUUUAAAAAGGAAAUAGUAAAAUAUAUAUUAAUUUCACUGUAUAUGAUCUAGGAAAAAUGAUUUUAUAGGUAGAUUUGUAUAUGAGAGCGAGAGGGAUGCUAUUGUGAUGGGUUUUCAAAUUUAGAGUGGGCUUCGUAUGGCGCAAUAAUUGUGAAUCACCAGGCCCAUCUAUUUACACAACCUGCUUUUGAGAGGAUUUGCUUUGAAUAACCUUUUUUCUUUUCUUUUUUAAGCCGAAAUUUUUUUAUUUGAGAAUAUGAAUAACCUUUUUUGUUUUUAAUCUUCUUCAAACUUCAAUACAUACAGUGGAUUAUUGAAUCUCAAAAACAUAAAUUCAAUUUUUUAAUUAAGGCAGAUUUUUGUGUGUGUGGAUGUUAAUACCAUGAACUCACUAGCUAGUUAGAGAUUAGUCUUCAAUUAAAAGAAGAAUAACUUGAUCAGUCAAUUAAUAAUUACUCUUUAAUUUAGACAAUAACUAAAUUAGGUAAUGAUGAUGAAUAUGCAAAGGGCAAAAGUAUCACAUUAGAUUACCGAUUAAUUUUCAUUAAUAUUGGUUAAAAAGUACAUAAAUAUAUAAUGAACUGAACUUGAGCAUCAUUUCAACUUCAUGUAUAGAACCUUAAUUAGAUAGAUGAUGAAAUAGUUCGAAGAAAAUCUUUGACUGCCCUCUCUUGUAUCCAAGACAAAAUAGUUCCAAACACAAGCUCCACAUUUUCCCCAGUCUCACCAAUCAACAUAUGCCACAUCCCAUGCAAAAUCUUCAAUGUUUUGUCCUUGCUUGCAGCUGAUUCAUACAAAAACGUAGCAGCCUCAGGAUCACAUACAACAUCAUCUUCCCCAUGCAAAAUUAUCAAUGGAACCUCUAGCUCGUGGCAAUGCAUCCUUAUAUACUUACAAACCCUCAAAAACUCCAAUUCAGUCGCCGCUGGAGGCUUCCCUGAGCUCCUCCGAUUAGGGUUUUUGGCCACCAAUCUCCUCUUCCAUUCCUCCUUGAAUGACUUACUAGCCACAGGCUUUGUGACAACGACUUUCCAAGUCGGUGCAAAUAACGCAGCAACAGGAAGCAGCUUCUCUAGUGGCCUUGUGGGUUUGAAUUUUGAUGAAAUGCCACACAUUGAGCCAUUCAAAAUCAAACCAUCCCAUCCAUAUUUUUGAUGUAGAGAUAUAAGAAUGCAAAUGGCUCCUCCCAGCGAUUCGCCGUAGAGAAAUGAAGGCAGUUUAGGGUUUUGGGAUUAGACUGAGUCAAAAAAUUGUGUGCAAUCUUGAAUAAUGUGUUGAAUGUUAGGGAUGUGACCAGGGUAGCCAUCAGAUUGGCCAUGGCCUUGAAGAUCAAGUGCACAAACUAAGAACCCGAGUUUGGCUAUGGCUACAGCAGUGAGCUCAGAUAUCCAGCUGCUGUCAGCAGCGUAGCCAUGAACCAUUGCUACAAGCCCUUUGAACUGCUGGUGGUGGAGGUGGUUGUUGUUGGCACAAUAUUCAGGGCGCCAUGUUUGGGUGAAGAGUUUCAUUUUCCUUUCGUUAAGCAUGAAGCUUUCUUCGUGAAUGAUUUGAUGCUUCUUGUAAAAUUCUUCUCGAGUGAGGUCUCCGUAUGGGCUAUUCUCAUUAGCUUGGCUUAUGGGGUGUGACAUUUUCAUUUCUUUGAAGAAUAAGAAGAAGAGUCAAGAAUGUUCAAAAGUAUUUGGAGUAUGAAAUGUGAAUAUGUUGAGGAGAAUGACACCAGGCCACUUGUAUUCAUAUAUGGUGACCUACUAAGCUGCUAGUCAUGCAAAUUUUAAUUGCAGAUGUUCACCCUGUG